RNAcentral lists this ribosomal RNA (255 nucleotides) under uncultured bacterium. RNAcentral describes it as "partial 16S ribosomal RNA". It matches the Rfam family "Archaeal small subunit ribosomal RNA", at positions 474 to 727 of the family's 1478-position model. RNAcentral also lists the same sequence under 2 other names. The record is from RNAcentral.
CACCGGCAGCUCAAGUGGUAGCCGCUUUUAUUGGGCCUAAAGCGUCCGUAGCCGGUCUGAUAAGUCUCUGGUGAAAUCCCACAGCUUAACUGUGGGAAUUGCUGGAGAUACUAUCAUGACUCGAGGUCGGGAGAGGCUGGAGGUACUCCCAGGGUAGGGGUGAAAUCCUGUAAUCCUGGGAGGACCACCUGUGGCGAAGGCGUCCAGCUGGAACGAACCUGACGGUGAGGGACGAAAGCCAGGGGCGCGAACCGG